UUGCCCCUACGGGACGCAGCAGUGAGGAAUAUUGGUCAAUGGGCGCAAGCCUGAACCAGCCAAGUCGCGUGAGGGAUGACGGUCCUAUGGAUUGUAAACCUCUUUUGUCGGGGAGCAAGGCCCGCCACGUGUGGCGGGAAGGAGAGUACCCGAAGAAAAAGCAUCGGCUAACUCCGUGCCAGGAGCCGCGGUAAUACGGAGGAUGCGAAGGGUAUCCGGAGUUCUUGGGUUUAAA
Molecule: ribosomal RNA, 235 nt
Filed under: uncultured bacterium
Lineage: Bacteria
Description: partial 16S ribosomal RNA
Rfam family: Bacterial small subunit ribosomal RNA
Source: RNAcentral